This 301-nucleotide ribosomal RNA is filed under the name uncultured bacterium. Its description in RNAcentral is "partial 16S ribosomal RNA". It matches the Rfam family "Bacterial small subunit ribosomal RNA", at positions 509 to 809 of the family's 1533-position model. The record is from RNAcentral.
CAGUCGCCGCGGGAAUACGAAGGGUGCAAGCGUUACUCGGAAUUACUGGGCGUAAAGCGUGUGUAGGUGGUUGUUUAAGUCUGUCGUGAAAGCCCUGGGCUCAACCUGGGAAUUGCGAUGGAUACUGGGCGACUAGAGUGCGGUAGAGGAUAGUGGAAUUUCCGGUGUAGCAGUGAAAUGCGUAGAGAUCGGAAGGAACAUCAGUGGCGAAGGCGGCCAUCUGGGACAACACUGACGCUGAGGCACGAAAGCGUGGGGAGCAAACAGGAUUAGAUACCCGGGUAGUCCCUGUCUCUUAUAA